Molecule: ribosomal RNA, 380 nt
Filed under: uncultured eukaryote
Lineage: Eukaryota
Description: partial 18S ribosomal RNA
Rfam family: Eukaryotic small subunit ribosomal RNA
Source: RNAcentral
CAAUAGCAUAUAUUAAAGUUGUUGCAGUUAAAAAGCUCGUAGUUGGAUUUGUGGCGUACGGUGUGUUCCGGGCACUUGUUGUCUGAGUAACCUGCUGUUGCCAUCCUUGGGUGGAACCUGUGUGGCAUUAGGUUGUCGUGCAGGGGAUGCCCAUCAUUUACUGUGAAAAAAUUAGAGUGUUCAAAGCAGGCUUAUGCCGUUGAAUAUAUUAGCAUGGAAUAAUGAGAUAGGACUUUUUUGCUAUUUUGUUGGUUUGCGCAAAGAGGUAAUGAUUAAUAGGGACAGUUGGGGGUAUUCGUAUUCCAUUGUCAGAGGUGAAAUUCUUGGAUUUUUGGAAGACGAACUACUGCGAAAGCAUUUACCAAGGAUGUUUUCAUUAA